ACGGAAGUUAUUCGGGUAGUAACAGAGAGUUCGAUCCUGGCUCGACGAACGCUAUGGAUGCUUUACACAUGCAAGUCGAACGGCAGCACGGACUUCUGUGUUCAGGCAGUGGCGAACGGGUGAGUAAUGUAUCGGAACGUGCCUAGUAGCGGGGGAUAACUACGCGAAAGCGUAGCUAAUACCGCAUACGCCCUUCGGGAAAGCGGGGACCUUUCGGGCCUCGCACUAUUAGGAGCGGCCGAUAUCGGAUUAGCUAGUUGGUGGGGUAACGGCUCACCAAGGCGACGAUCCGUAGCCAUUUAGAGACGACCGCCACACUGGGACUGGAGACACGCCCAGACUCCUACGGAGGCAGCAGUGGGAAUUUUGACAAUGGGGGAACCCUUAUCCCAGCCAUCCGCGUGUGCGAUGAAGGCCUUCGGGUUGUAAAAGCACUUUUGGCAGUGAAAGAAACGGCAAUGGGAUAACACCCCGUGCAACUGACGGUACCGCAGAGAAUAAGACCUGGUUAAUCAUGCGCCAGCAGCCAUGGUAAUACGUAGGGUGCAAGCGUUAAUCGGAAUUACUGGGCGUAAAGCGUGCGCAGGCAGGUUCUGGAAAAAGAGAUGAAAUCCCAGAGCUUAACUUUGGAACUGCAUUUUUAACUACCGAGCUAGAGUGUGUCAGAGGGAGGUGAAUUUGUAGCAGUGAAAUGCGUAGAUAUGCGGAGGAACACCGAUGGCGAAGGCAGCCUCCCGGGAUAACACUGACGCUCAUGCACGAAAGCGUGGGGAGCAAACAGGAUUAGAUACCCUGGUAGUCCACGCCCUAAACGAUGUCAACUGUUGGGGCCUUCGGGCCUUGGUAGCGCAGCUAACGUUGCGAAGUUGACCGCCCGGGGAGUACGGUCGCAAGAUUAAAACUCAAAGGAAUUGACGGGGACCUACCACAGGUGGAUGAGGCUGUAGAUUAAUCAUUGAUGCAACCAGCAAACUUUACUCACCUUGACAUGUCUGGAAUCCCGAAGAGAUUUGGGAGUGCUCGGUAAGAGAACCGGAACACAGAAAGCGAUGGCCAUGGUUAGCCUCAAAGCGUGAGGAUGCCGGGGUUAAGUCCCACCAGAGCGGGCAACCCUUGUCAUUAUUAAGUGCUACGAAAGGGCACUCUAAUGAGACUGCCGGUGACAAACCGGGAGGAAGGUGGGGAUGACGUCAAGUCCUCAUGGCCCUUAUGGGUAGGGCUUCACACGUCAUACAAUGGUCGGGACAGAGGGUCGCCAACCCGCGAGGGGGGAGCCAAUCCCAGAAACCCGAUCGAAGCCCUGGAUUGGGUCGUAACCUGAUCACAGUGAAGUCGGAAUCGCUAGUAAUCGCGGAUCAGCAUGUCGCGGUGAAUACGUUCCCGGGUCUUGUACACACCGCCCGUCACACCAUGGGAGUGGGUUUUACCAGAAGUAGUUAGCCUAACCGUAAGGAGGGGCGAUUACCACGGUAGGAUUCAUGACUGGGGUGAAGUCGUAACAAGGUAG
Molecule: ribosomal RNA, 1507 nt
Filed under: uncultured Bordetella sp.
Lineage: Bacteria; Pseudomonadati; Pseudomonadota; Betaproteobacteria; Burkholderiales; Alcaligenaceae
Description: partial 16S-23S ribosomal RNA intergenic spacer
Rfam family: Bacterial small subunit ribosomal RNA
Source: RNAcentral